AAAGCAGUAGUUGAAUAGGAAAAACACCAUCGUGAGCGAUUUUAAUACUACCGCCAGGUCAAUUAAAAUGUUCUCAUAGGCGGCAACGUUGGUUCGAGUCCAACCUGCUUUA
This 112-nucleotide transfer RNA is filed under the name Chitinophaga sp. RNAcentral describes it as "tRNA-OTHER". It matches the Rfam family "tRNA". From Rfam's summary of the family: Transfer RNA (tRNA) molecules are approximately 80 nucleotides in length. Their secondary structure includes four short double-helical elements and three loops (D, anti-codon, and T loops). Lineage: Bacteria; Pseudomonadati; Bacteroidota; Chitinophagia; Chitinophagales; Chitinophagaceae. The record is from RNAcentral.